UACGUGGGGUGCAAGCGUUGUUCGGAAUUACUGGGCGUAAAGGGCUCGUAGGCGGCCAACUAAGUCAGACGUGAAAUCCCUCGGCUUAACCGGGGAACUGCGUCUGAUACUGGAUGGCUUGAGGUUGGGAGAGGGAUGCGGAAUUCCAGGUGUAGCGGUGAAAUGCGUAGAUAUCUGGAGGAACACCGGUGGCGAAGGCGGCAUCCUGGACCAAUUCUGACGCUGAGGAGCGAAAGCCAGGGGAGCAAACAGG
This 253-nucleotide ribosomal RNA is filed under the name uncultured bacterium. Its description in RNAcentral is "partial 16S ribosomal RNA". It matches the Rfam family "Bacterial small subunit ribosomal RNA", at positions 524 to 776 of the family's 1533-position model. The record is from RNAcentral.